Molecule: ribosomal RNA, 480 nt
Filed under: uncultured bacterium
Lineage: Bacteria
Description: partial 16S ribosomal RNA
Rfam family: Bacterial small subunit ribosomal RNA
Source: RNAcentral
GACGAACGCUGGCGGCGUGCUUAACACAUGCAAGUCGAACGAUGACCCUCGAAAUGUUUUCUUCGGAAUGAUUUUUGAGAGAAUUAGUGGCGAACGGGUGAGUAACGCGUGAGCAACCUGCCUUAGACAAGGGGAUAGCCUCGGGAAACCGUGAUUAAUACCCUAUGAGACUCCACUUACGAGUGUAAGAGAAGUUAAAGCUAUUGCGGUCUAAGAUGGGCUCGCGUCUGAUUAGCUAGUUGGUGAGAUAAAAGCCCACUAAGGCGACGAUCAGUAACCGGCAUGAGAGAGUGGACGGUCACAUUGGAACUGAGACACAGUCCAGACUCCUGCGGGAGGCAGCAGUGGGGAAUAUUGCACAAUGGGGGCAACCCUGAUGGAGCGACGCUGCGUGAGCGAUGAAGGAAGUCGUGUAGUAAAGCUCUGUACUUGGAGAAGAUAAUGACGGUAACCAAGGAGGAAGCACCGGCUAAAUACGUG